GGCAAUUCUUGGGUGACGCACCCCAGAAUUGGGCUCCCUCCUCUCUGGUUCAGGGUGCAUCACCCCAGAACCACU
Molecule: non-coding RNA, 75 nt
Organism: Myotis davidii
Lineage: Eukaryota; Metazoa; Chordata; Mammalia; Chiroptera; Vespertilionidae
Source: Rfam